UCCGUAGGGUAACCUGCGGAGGGAUCAUUACAGAGUUAUCCAACUCCCAAACCCAUGUGAACUUAUCUCUUUGUUGCCUCGGCGCAAGCUACCCGGGACCUCGCGCCCCGGGCGGCCCGCCGGCGGACAAACCAAAACUCUUGUUAUCUUAGUUGAUUAUCUGAGUGUCUUAUUUAAUAAGUCAAAACUUUCAACAACGGAUCUCUUGGUUCUGGCAUCGAUGAAGAACGCAGCGAAAUGCGAUAAGUAAUGUGAAUUGCAGAAUUCAGUGAAUCAUCGAAUCUUUGAACGCACAUUGCGCCCAUUAGUAUUCUAGUGGGCAUGCCUGUUCGAGCGUCAUUUCAACCCCUAAGCACAGCUUAUUGUUGGGAACCUACGGCUUCGUAGUUCCUCAAAGACAUUGGCGGAGUGGCAGUGGUCCUCUGAGCGUAGUAAUCUUUUAUCUCGCUUCUGUUAGGUGCUGCCCCCCCGGCCGUAAAACCCCCAAUUUUUUCUGGUUGACCUCGGAUCAGGUAGGAAUACCCGCUGAACUUAAGCAUAUCAAUAAGCGGAGGA
RNAcentral lists this ribosomal RNA (555 nucleotides) under Nigrospora sp. Y512-1a. RNAcentral describes it as "eukaryotic LSU rRNA". The stretch from base 186 to 339 matches the Rfam family "5.8S ribosomal RNA". Lineage: Eukaryota; Fungi; Ascomycota; Sordariomycetes; Amphisphaeriales; Apiosporaceae. The record is from RNAcentral.